Molecule: long non-coding RNA, 373 nt
Organism: Mus musculus (house mouse)
Lineage: Eukaryota; Metazoa; Chordata; Mammalia; Rodentia; Muridae
Product: predicted gene, 35704
Exons: 3
Source: RefSeq, a predicted model, not a curated record
CACCCGGAGAGGUGGAAAUGGGGGUCCCGACAUGAUAGCUUUGGAAGCCCAUCUCAGGAUCCAGUUGAUGAAGUGAGGACCUUUCAUCAGAAGCAGACCAGGGGACAGGAGCAGGGCAGUGAGAUACUCAAGUGGUGAUGGCAAGUCCAGGAUGUAUUUGAUCUUGGAGCAGAGAUCUGGAUUUCCAUUUACGCAGCGCCCUAAGAACCUGUUGAUAGAGGAGAUAGUAAUUAUCAGUCCAUUAACUUACCAGCGGAUGUUUUGUUAUAGCCGAUAAGUGCAAAUCCAGGUCCUCCAACACUCGGAAUUUAUUUCUUCCUCCCCCUGUCUUCCAAAAGGCAGAACCAAAAUGUAACGUUUUUAUCAUUAAAUC